Sander lucioperca (pikeperch) is the source of this 161-nucleotide long non-coding RNA. RefSeq lists it as uncharacterized. The transcript is spliced from 3 exons. Lineage: Eukaryota; Metazoa; Chordata; Actinopteri; Perciformes; Percidae. The record is from RefSeq and is a predicted model, not a curated record.
UUGUUAAGUGUAGUCAGAUGUGAAAGCCCCCUUUCCUUACUGCAUUAUACCAUUACAUUUAAAAUGUUGAAUUGUUACCUGCAGAAUUGUGUAUACAAAUAUUUGCAGUACAAUUAAUAUAAGAAGUCUGCACCUCUUUCCACGCACAGACUGCUUUCCCC